RNAcentral lists this small RNA (774 nucleotides) under Pan troglodytes (chimpanzee). RNAcentral describes it as "retained intron". Lineage: Eukaryota; Metazoa; Chordata; Mammalia; Primates; Hominidae. The record is from RNAcentral.
GAGAAGCAAGCCCGCGGCUCAACCACCUUGCAGGAGAGCCGAGAGGGGCUGCCCGAGGAAGAGGCUCCCCGGCCCCAGCUGGACCUGCAGGCCUCCAAAAAGCUGCCAGAUCUCUAUGGCAAUCCACCCCGAGAGCUCAUCGGAGAGCCCCUGGAGGACCUGGACCCCUUCUAUAGCAACCAAAAGACUUUCAUCGUACUGAAUAAAGGCAAGACCAUCUUCCGGUUCAGUGCCACCAACGCCUUGUAUGUCCUCAGUCCCUUCCACCCCAUCCGGAGAGCGGCUGUGAAGAUUCUGGUUCACUCAUAUCCUUUGCAGUUAAUACCUGCUGAGUACCCCCUGGGGGCCCACGCUGGGGAUGUGCACGUGCUGCCCCCACCCCACCUCCAUUCUAGUUUAGGAAUGAGAGUAGCGCUGAUUCCCUGCUGGUCCUAAGACAAAUGCAUGGUCAUGACCUGGGAGCUGGUUGGAAAUGAAGAACCUCUGACCUUCCUCCAGACCUGCCAAGUCAGCAUCUGCAUUUUCAUUUGAUCCCCAGGGGAUUCUUGGGCACAUGAAAGUUUGAGAAACCUGCUUCUGAUUCUUCAGAACAUUCUAGAAGCUAAGCUACUGAGGAUCCCAGAAGAAAUGACGUCUGUCGGGCUCUGAUAUUGGCUCCAAAUAUCCCUCCCCACCACACCCCCUUGGUCCAUCCUCCUCCCCACCCACUUGCAGGGACCUUCAAGCAGGUCACCAGAACUUAGCCAAGGAAAAACCAUUUCCCAAUAAAGAGGC